Molecule: ribosomal RNA, 279 nt
Filed under: uncultured bacterium
Lineage: Bacteria
Description: partial 16S ribosomal RNA
Rfam family: Bacterial small subunit ribosomal RNA
Source: RNAcentral
UGCCAGCAGCCGCGGUAAUACGUAGGGAGCAAGCGUUGUCCGGAAUUAUUGGGCGUAAAGGGUGCGUAGGCGGUUUUGUAAGUCAGAUGUGAAAUUCCCGGGCUUAACUCGGGGCGUGCAUUUGAAACUACAGAACUUGAGUAAAGAAGAGGUAAGUGGAAUUCCUAGUGUAGCGGUGAAGUGCGUAGAUAUUAGGAGGAACACCAGUGGCGAAGGCGACUUACUGGUCUUUUACUGACGCUGAGGCACGAAAGCGUGGGGAGCAAACAGGAUUAGAUA